This 1181-nucleotide ribosomal RNA is filed under the name marine metagenome. Its description in RNAcentral is "bacterial LSU rRNA". It matches the Rfam family "Bacterial large subunit ribosomal RNA", at positions 1246 to 2542 of the family's 2925-position model. The record is from RNAcentral.
GCCUGUGAGGGAUACCCGCGAGGGAUCCUGGAGGUAUCAGAAGUGCGAAUGCUGACAUAAGUAACGAUAAAAGAAGUGAAAAACUUCUUCGCCGAAAAUCCAAGGGUUUCUGCGCAAGGUUAAUCCGCGCAGAGUUAGUCGGCACCUAAGGCGAGGGCGAAAGCCGUAGUCGAUGGAAAUAAGGUUAAUAUUCCUUAACCAGAUGGUAGUGACGGAUCUUGUAAGUUGUGAGCUCUUAAUGGAUUGAGUUUGCCGCGAAAAGGUUCCAAGAAAUAGCUCCAUCAUUAGACCGUACCCUAAACCGACACAGGUGGAUUAAUAGAGUAUAUUUAGGCGCUUGAGAGAAUGAUGUUGAAGGAACUCGGCAAAAUGCUUCCGUAACUUCGGGAUAAGGAAGACCUGUUUUUAGGCAACUAGAGAUGGGUGGCACAAGCCAGGGAGAAGCGACUGUUUAUCAAAAACACAGGGCUCUGCUAACACGUAAGUGGAUGUAUAGGGUCUGACGCCUGCCCGGUGCUGGAAGGUUAAUGCGGUUGGUGCAAGCUAACUUCUGAAGCCCCAGUAAACGGCGGCCGUAACUAUAACGGUCCUAAGGUAGCGAAAUUCCUUGUCGGGUAAGUUCCGACCUGCAUGAAUGGCGUAACGAUUUCUCCGCUGUCUCCAACAUCAACUCAGUGAAAUUGAAUUCUCCGUGAAGAUGCGGAGUUCGCGUAGUUAGACGGAAAGACCCCGUGCACCUUUACUGCAACUUUACAUUGGUAUUAGGAAAAACAUAUUUAGUAUAGGAGGGAGACAUUGAAGCAAAGGCGUCAGCUUUUGUGGAGUCACCAGUGAAAUACCUCUUUUGUUUUUCUUGGUAUCUAACUGAUUGCCGUCAUCCGGCAUCAAGACAUUGUAUGGUGGGUAGUUUGACUGGGGCGGUCGCCUCCCAAAUAGUAACGGAGGCGUGCGAAGGUAGGCUCAGAACGGUCAGAAAUCGUUCGUAGAGUGCAAUGGCAAAAGCCUGCCUGACUGUGAGACUGACAAGUCGAGCAGAGACGAAAGUCGGUCAUAGUGAUCCGGUGGUUCUGAGUGGAAGGGCCAUCGCUCAACGGAUAAAAGGUACGCCGGGGAUAACAGGCUGAUACUGCCCAAGAGCUCAUAUCGACGGCAGUGUUUGGCACCUCGAUGUCGGCUCAUCA